RNAcentral lists this ribosomal RNA (497 nucleotides) under uncultured bacterium. RNAcentral describes it as "partial 16S ribosomal RNA". It matches the Rfam family "Bacterial small subunit ribosomal RNA", at positions 28 to 507 of the family's 1533-position model. The record is from RNAcentral.
GAUGAACGCUGGCGGCGUGCCUAAUACAUGCAAGUCGAGCGAACAGAUAAGGAGCUUGCUCCUUUGACGUUAGCGGCGGACGGGUGAGUAACACGUGGAUAACCUACCUAUAAGACUGGGAUAACUUCGUGAAACCGGAGCUAAUUCCGGAUAACAUAUUGAACCGCAUGGUUCAAUAGUGUAAGGCGGCUUUGCUUUCACUUAUAGAUGGAUCCGAGCCGUAUUAGCUAGUUGGUAAGGUAACGGCUUACCAAGGCAACGGUACGUAGGCGACCUGAGAGGGUGAUCGGCCAAACCUGAAAUGGGACACGGUCCAGACUCCUACGGGAGGCAGCAGUAGGGAAUCUUCCGCAAUGGGCGAAAGCCUGACGGAGCAACGCCGCGUGAGUGAUGAAGGUCUUCGGAUCGUAAAACUCUGUUAUCAGGGAAGAACAAAUGUGUAAGUAACUGUGCACAUCUUGACGGUACCUGAUCAGAAAGCCACGGCUAACUACGUG